UACUUUUGAUCCUGGCUCAGGACGAACGCUGGCGGCGUGCCUAAGACAUGCAAGUCGAGCGGACUCCUACGGGAGUGAGCGGCGGACGGGUGAGGAACACGUGGGCAAUCUGCCCAUUGGACUGGAAUAACGCCUGGAAACGGGUGCUAAGGCCAGAUAGACACAGAAGAGGCCUCUCUUGUGUGGGAAAGAUGCUCCGGCAUCGCCAGUGGAGGAGCCCGCGGCGCAUUAGCUGGUUGGCGGGGUAACGGCCCACCAAGGCGACGAUGCGUAGCCGACCUGAGAGGGUGAACGGCCACACUGGGACUGAGACACGGCCCAGACUCCUACGGGAGGCAGCAGUAGGGAAUCUUCCGCAAUGGGCGCAAGCCUGACGGAGCAACGCCGCGUAAGCGAAGAAGGCCUUCGGGUUGUAAAGCUUAGUCACUCGGGAAGAGCGGGUGGGAGAGGGAAUGCUCCCACCGAGACGGUACCGGGAGAGGAAGCCCCGGCAAACUACGUGCCAGCAGCCGCGGUAAUACGUAGGGGGCAAGCGUUGUCCGGAAUCACUGGGCGUAAAGGGUGCGUAGGCGGUGUUGUGGGUCUGAGGUGAAAGGUCAGGGCUCAACCCUGAGAAUGCCUUGGAAACUGCAAGACUUGAGUGCUGGAGAGGCAAGGGGAAU
This 662-nucleotide ribosomal RNA is filed under the name uncultured Alicyclobacillus sp. RNAcentral describes it as "bacterial SSU rRNA". It matches the Rfam family "Bacterial small subunit ribosomal RNA", at positions 1 to 667 of the family's 1533-position model. The record is from RNAcentral. Lineage: Bacteria; Bacillati; Bacillota; Bacilli; Caryophanales; Alicyclobacillaceae.